GACGAACGCUGGCGGCGUGCCUGACACAUGCAAGUCGAACGGAGAAGUUCAGCAAUGGAUUUCUUAGUGGCGAACGUGUGAGUAACGCGUAGACAACCUGCCUCUAAGCUGGGGACAACAACUCGAAAGGGUUGCUAAUACCGAAUGUGAACAGUGCCUCGCAUGAGAUGCUGUUUGAAGGUGGCCUCUGAAUAUGCUACCGCUUAGAGAUGGGUCUGCGUCUGAUUAGCUAGUUGGAGGGGUAAUGGCCCACCAAGGCGACGAUCAGUAGCCGGUCUGAGAGGAUGAACGGCCACACUGGGACUGAGACACGGCCCAGACUCCUACGGGAGGCAGCAGUGGGGAAUCUUCCGCAAUGGACGAAAGUCUGACGGAGCAACGCCGCGUGAGUGAAGAAGGCCCUCGGGUCGUAAAGCUCUGUCUUCAGGGUCGAAUGUGCAGAUUGUGAAUAAUGGUUUGUAAUGACGGUACCUGAGGAGGAAGCCACGGCUAACUACGUGCCAGCAGCCGCCGUAA
Molecule: ribosomal RNA, 516 nt
Filed under: uncultured bacterium
Lineage: Bacteria
Description: partial 16S ribosomal RNA
Rfam family: Bacterial small subunit ribosomal RNA
Source: RNAcentral